RNAcentral lists this long non-coding RNA (941 nucleotides) under Mus spicilegus (steppe mouse). RNAcentral describes it as "lncRNA (ENSMSIG00000006146.1)". The record is from RNAcentral. Lineage: Eukaryota; Metazoa; Chordata; Mammalia; Rodentia; Muridae.
GCUCUGUCUUGAUUUCCACAUGGAACCAGAUCAUCAAAGAGACUGCUCUCAGUGAGUUCACUGUGGAAAGUGUUUUCAGGAUUAAGCACGCCUCCUUUUUACGUCUCCGAUUCUACCUCCCCUGUGAGAUGCUCUUCACCUGCCUCCUCCUCUGACUCCAAUCUAUCAAAGUAAAGAUCUUCAGGAUCAAUGGUUGUGAAUUUAAAAGAAUUUCAGUUCAGAUCCAGUCUUGUAUUUGGAAUAGUCUUGUUGGUUUCCCAUGACAACAAGAAAGAUGUGAAGGCAAAGACCGCAGGACUGGAAUUCUUGAAGAAAGUCAGCCUCCUCAUGGUAUGCUCCCAUGACAUCCAUAUCUGCUUCCCAAGCCUUAGGGAGGAAGUCCUUCGACAGCCAGAAAGGGACUCUGGGAUCUAGUGUGAGAGAUAUAUCUGCAAUGGCGUCCUGUGUAAAAUUUAGCCUUGAGGAUGUGGAAGAUAGACUCCAGGCAGAUGCCAUUAACAGGAUGUUCAGAUCUCAGUGGAGCACCUGCUGGAGAUGGAAUACUUCAAUCUGAGGAUGGCACCCAUUUACACUAUCCUCUGCAAUUCAACCUUAACACCAAGCCUACUGUCCAGCCUAGGAGAAAAUGUUCUGAGAGACAGAACUGCUCGGUGCUAGGGCAGGUGUUUGAAGGAUUCUUUGCUGUACUGUGGGUACCUGUCUCAGGGGAUUCUCUUACCCACCCUGUCACUAUCUUUUUGGGACCAUUCUGUGCUGAGAUGAAACAAGUGAUCUUUGUGUGAAUUCGUUCUGGUCUCUGCAUCCUGGGUCCCUGAAUCCAAGGGCGCUGUGGGUAUGAGAGGCCUUGGUGAAGAAUUGUUGACAGGGUUAAUGGAGAUGCGUAACUCGGUGGAAGUACCUUCCUGGGCACCUGGACACCACAGAAGAGGCCAACAUAUUCA